This 3870-nucleotide long non-coding RNA is filed under the name Homo sapiens (human). The record is from RNAcentral. Lineage: Eukaryota; Metazoa; Chordata; Mammalia; Primates; Hominidae.
CUUUCUCCCCGCCGCAUUCCCGGUGUCGACUUACUAGCUGCAAGCCUCUGCCUGCCUUCCUGCGCGCCGUUCCCCGCUAGUCGCUGCUGCUGGCGCGCACUCGCCGGGUUUUUCCUCCCACGGCCUCGAGAUGGUGGUGAAUGUGGCACGGAGGAGCCGGGCCUUCCAACCCGGUGGGCCCGAGCUCCGAAAGGCCCCCUCGGCAGUGAGAGGGGCGGGAGCCCGCGGGGGCCGCGCCCUUCUCUCGCUUCGGACUGCGCAACGCUGCGCUCUGGGCUGACAGGCGGAUAAAACGGUCCCAUCAAGACUGAGAAAAAGCACACCAGCUAUUGGCACAGCGUGGGCAGUGGGGCCUACAGGAUGACUGACUUAGUCUACAGAGAUCCCGGCGUACUUAAGCAGGUAGUAAUGAUGGACAGGUGAGGCUUUAGGCGGCCGCCCUGGGAUCUGAAUUGCCCCUUGGCCCUUAUCGAAGCUGCAGCUGCUUCCGCAUAGCUGCUGUGGUCAAAAAGGAGCCCAGAGUGACAGUUUUCCUUGACGGUCGCCGUUCUGUUUGUUGUAACUGAUCUGCAACAUUUUGGGAAAAUACAGUUCCAUUGUACCUGCCACCUUUCAGCUGUAGCCAGAGACCUUUAUCAAAAUGGGCUUGUUUCCACAGAACAGCAGAACGGUUGGGGGUUUGCAUGUACAGUUAACCAGCAUAAGACUCGUACUGGGAAAAUCCAGCUGGGAUGUGACACAGCUUAACUGAUAGCUUAAGGCAUCAGUAUUGGGACCAAAGGCUGGUCAGAUUUGUAUCAUUCUGAGGACCAAAUGAUGGGAACAAUAAAAUUGUUCAUGACAGUUGUUCUCAUUUUGCUGUCCAGAUGAAGACUCUUAAGAUGACAGAAGGUGAUUUUUCUGGUGAUCGAGGACUUCCGGGGUAAUGACAGUGAUGAAAUGCAGGGGACCUGGUUGCCCCCAAGUUUCCUGGCAGUGUGUGAUACUGAGGAGGUGAGCUUGUUUCUGGAGCUGUGCUUUAAGAUUCAUGUUACAUGUAAAGCUGUCCUCAUUUGUGACUAUGGACCUAUGGAGUUGGGACAAUCUCUAUGGGAAGCAGAAGGCAAGGACCCCGGUCAUUUUAGGUAGAAACAACAGCAUGCUAAUGCAAAAAAUUAUGCAGUGUGCUACUGAACUUCAGAGGUGAUCAAUAAAAGAAGAAUAAAAAGACUAAUAAAAGUAUAUUUGUGUUUGUAUUUUUUUGUAGAGACCGAACUGGUCUCUUCCCGAGCUCAAGCAAUCCAUCUCCCAAAGUGAGCCACCAUGCCCAGCCCUUAAAGAGAUCUUUGGAGAUUUUUUAUGAUGUAGGAUGAAUGCUUUGCCUCAAGCAGUAAGUCCCAACACAUGACAAGGUUGGACAGUUUCCCCAUUUACUUGGGAAACACGGAAGUGAGCAGUAUAAAGUUCACACGGAGGGUCUGCUUUGGCUUUGAGCUAUCUUCCUUAAUCCUUUCUGAGCUGCCUUCUCCCGUGUCAAAAUAUUGAUCCUAAAGUGAUCCAGGCCUUGUAUAUGCAGAUGCUGCAACUCAUGAAAAUAGAUGAAACCCAUUAUUAGAGCAAGUACUAAUUCUUAGGCCAACUGGCCUGUUCCAUCACACCCCACCACAUUCUACCUUCUGGGGCGUGCUCCUACCACACCUGCUAGAGUGCCUUUUCUACCUAGCUGCCAGACUUGCACCAAGUUAGGACUCAAAUAUGGCAGGUCCUACAAAUACUCCAGAGAACCCUGAUUUACAUACCUACCUGUCAACUGAGAAACCUUGAACUCAGGCUUUAGUGUGUGAAUUAUCCCAAGCUGCUCAUCCCAGUUUUGGAUAAUCCCAAACUGUCCUAUGUGGAUAACUACCUGGACAAAGGAUUCCUGUGAAGGAAACCAAUUUGAACCUUGUUUAAAAGUUGUUCCCUUGGUCUUCAAACUCAAAUGGUCAAAUGAAUGCAGCAGUGUUGUAGAAACAUUCAUGAUCUCCAAAAACAGUCAUUAUUAAAAUCUUACAAAUCAUAUUUCCAAAAAGGUUUCACAAUUUUUAAAAAGGAGUCUCUCAUCUCCCUCACAUCAUGCAACCUGGCUUGUCCUUUGGCCUGGCUACAUCAUGGCAGGGAUCUCUGAAGACACUGUGUCCAGGGGCUGCCAGUGACAGUCCAUCAGAGCGUCAUACAGCUCCUCACUCUGUUCCAUGAACUCCUUGUUGGCCUCAGUCACAUCCAGCUGUGGCAUGGGGUCUGGAAAGCAAGCAAGGAUGGGGUCAGGGAAGUCUAGGGACAGCUGCAAGGGACCUGGUUCAGUUCCCUUCUCCCAGAACUCUGUUCUAUGGUAAGGUCCCUAUCCUGCCAGUUUCUUUCAGGAAGUGAAAGCACUGCCUUGCAGGGUUCUGGGGAAGAUGAAAAUAGAAUAAUGUAUCUAGAGAAUGGGAAAAUGGCAGCUGUUAGCCUGCAUCUAUUAAAAGCUACACCUGUGUCUCUAGCCAUCAUGUAUCCUAGAUUUUCUGGUCUGGUCCUCACUUCAAAUUUGGGUUUAGAAGGUCUGAUCAAAGUUAUUAAGUCCAGAGCAUCAUCUCAAGAACUGACAAUAAGUGCAUAGUGGAAGAACUUCAGUCAAAUAUAGGAGCUGAAAGGCCAAGUCCUGUAUGUAUGUAUGUGUGUGUGUAUGUACUUUAGAGAAAGGGUCUUGCUCUGUCACACAGGCUAGAGUACAGUGGCACACUUACAGCUCACAGCAGCCUUGAACUCUUAGGUUAAAGUGAUCCUCCCGCCUUAGCCUCCCAAAGUACUGAGAUUACAGGCAUGAGUCCCUGUCCCUGGUGGUAAAAUACUAUUAAAAAUUUUUUCUGCACAGUGGCUCAUGCCCAUAAUCCCAGCACUUCAGCAGGUCGAGGCGGGCAGAUCACCAGAAGUCGGGAGUUCAAGACCAGCCUGACCAACAUGGAGAAAUCCCAUCUCUACUAAAAAUACAAAAUGAGCCGGGCAUGGUGGCACAUGCCUAUAAUCCCAACUACUCGGGAGGCUGAGGCAGGAGAAUUGCUUGAACCCAGGAGGUGGAGGUUGCGGUGAGCCGAGAUGGCACCACUGCAUUCCAGCCUGGGCAACAAGAGCAAAACCCCGUCUCGGCCGGGCGCGGUGGCUCACGCCUGUAAUCCCAGCACUUUGGGAGGCCAAGGCAGGCAGAUCACAAGGUCAAGAGAUCGAGACCAUCCUGGCCAACAUGGUGAAACCCCGUCUCCACUAAAAAUAGAAAAAUUAGCUGGGCGUGGUGGCAGGCACCUGUAGUCCCAGCUACUCGGGAGGCUGAGGCAGGAGAAUCGCUUGAACCCGGGAGGCGGAGGUUGCAGUGAGCCGAGAUCACGCCAUUGCACUCCAGCCUGGGCAACAGAGCAAGAUGCCAUCUCAAAAAAAAAAAAAAAAUUAGCUGGGCAUGGUGACCUGUGUCUGUAGUGCCAGCUACUAGGGAGGCUGAGGCAGGAGGAUCACUUGAGCCUAGGAGGUCGAGGCUGCAGUGAGGCAUGUUCACAUCACUGAUCUCAAGUCUGGGCAACAAAGUGAGACUCUGUCUCAAAAAAAAAAAAAAACUGGGCACUGUGGCUCAUGCCUGUAAACCCAGCACUUUGGGAGGCCGAGGUGGGCAGAUCACAAGGUCAAGGGAUUGAGACCAUCCUGGGCAACAUGGUGAAACCCUGUCUCUACUCAAAUACAAAAAAUUAGCCGGGUAUGGCAGUGCACGCCUGUAGUCCCAGCUACUCGGGAGGCUGAGGCAGGAGAAUCACCUGAACCCGGGAGGCAGAGGUUGCAGUGAACAGAGAUGGCACCACUGCACUCCAGCCUGGCGACAGAGCAAAG